This 406-nucleotide ribosomal RNA is filed under the name uncultured Protaspa. RNAcentral's name for it is "partial small subunit ribosomal RNA". It matches the Rfam family "Eukaryotic small subunit ribosomal RNA", at positions 30 to 432 of the family's 1831-position model. Lineage: Eukaryota; Cercozoa; Thecofilosea; Cryomonadida. The record is from RNAcentral.
GCUUGUCUCAAAGAUUAAGCCAUGCAUGUCUAAGUAUAACUCUUUUACUUUGAAAACUGCGAACGGCUCAUUAUAUCAGUUAUAGUUUCUUUGAUAGUCCCUUACUACUUGGAUACCCGUAGUAAUUCUAGAGCUAAUACAUGCGUAAAGUCCCGACUCUUGCGGGGAGGGAUGUAUUUAUUAGAUAAAAAACCAAUGCGGCCUCUGGUCGGUAUUGUGGUGAAUCAUAGUAACUUUUCGAAUCGCAUGGCUUCACGCCGGCGAUAGUUCAUUCAAAUUUCUGCCCUAUCAGCUUUCGACGGUAGUGUAGUGGACUACCGUGGCGUUAACGGGUAACGGAGAAUUAGGGUUCGAUUCCGGAGAGGGAGCCUGAGAAACGGCUACCACAUCCAAGGAAGGCAGCAGG